RNAcentral lists this ribosomal RNA (253 nucleotides) under uncultured bacterium. RNAcentral describes it as "partial 16S ribosomal RNA". It matches the Rfam family "Bacterial small subunit ribosomal RNA", at positions 524 to 776 of the family's 1533-position model. The record is from RNAcentral.
UACAGAGGGUGCAAACGUUGCUCGGAAUUAUUGGGCGUAAAGCGCGUGUAGGCGGCUUGUUAAGUUGGUUGUGAAAACCCAUGGCUCAACCAUGGAAGGGCGUCCAAAACUGGCAAGCUAGAGUCCCGACGAGGAUGGCGGAAUUCCCAGUGUAGAGGUGAAAUUCGUAGAUAUUGGGAGGAACACCGGUGGCGAAGGCGGCCAUCUGGGCCGAUACUGACGCUGAGGAGCGAAAGCGUGGGGAGCGAACAGG